RNAcentral lists this small nuclear RNA (23 nucleotides) under Arabidopsis thaliana (thale cress). RNAcentral describes it as "snRNA_09505". The record is from RNAcentral. Lineage: Eukaryota; Viridiplantae; Streptophyta; Magnoliopsida; Brassicales; Brassicaceae.
UAUCUAAAUAAGGGUAAAAUGGU